CGGGUGAGUAACACGUGAGUGACCUGCCUUUUAGACUGGAACAACUUACCGAAAGGUGAGCUAAUGCCGGAUGAGUUAUAUAAGUGCAUGUUUAUAUAGGAAAAGUUGGGGAGACCUGACGCUGAAAGAUGGACUCGCGUCCCAUUAGCUAGUUGGUAGGGUAAUGGCCUACCAAGGCGACGAUGGGUAGCCGGCCUGAGAGGGUGGCCAGCCACACUGGGACUGAGACACGGCCCAGACUCCUACGGAAGGCAGCAG
This 258-nucleotide ribosomal RNA is filed under the name uncultured bacterium. Its description in RNAcentral is "partial 16S ribosomal RNA". It matches the Rfam family "Bacterial small subunit ribosomal RNA", at positions 103 to 354 of the family's 1533-position model. The record is from RNAcentral.